AAAAUGACAACAUAAAUUUUAACAUUUUAUCCUGUCUUGUCUUUUAAAAUCUAAAUAUUAAAUCGGCGAAUCAAUGAGUAGCAACAAAAACUAAAUAUUAAAUCCUACAACCAAAAGGAUUUAAAGCAUGGGUUCGAUUUUUACAAAUUAGCCAUAAAUAUGCCAGGAAAAGGUGGUGCAAGUCGUUCUCGGUCGAGUUCUGGCUCUCGUUCCCGGUACAGCCCUGCUGAACGACAUGCUCCGGCUCAAGCACCCAACAUUGUGGUCACGCCUAUGCCUCGAAGAUCCGUAUUCAGGGACGCCGCUGCAGUUGCCGGAGGCGUCACUGUGGGAACAACGAUGGGUCAUUUAGCAGGUGAGGCAAUAACAAGCCUGUUUGGUGGACAUCGACGUGAAGAAGUGCAACGUUCCCUGCCUCAGAACUACCAAAUGGGCACAGAGCCGAGUGGACCCUGUGCCUUUGAGAUUGCUCAGUUCCUGCAGUGCGCUGCCAACCGCGAAAACUUGCAGGAGUGCGAGGCUUUCAACGAAGCGCUAAGAGACUGUAAAACACGAAAUCGUUUACCUUAACGGACAAACAAUUAUUCACACUAUGUCAUAAUAAACAUUUGAAAUAUUAUUAUAAAAAACUUUUUAUUUAUCACCCAGACAUCAUCAUGCAAACCUAGGAUAGCUUGCCACUUCGGCUUUUGGGAGACUUU
Long non-coding RNA from Leptidea sinapis, 701 nucleotides. RefSeq lists it as uncharacterized. The transcript has 4 exons. The record is from RefSeq and is a predicted model, not a curated record. Lineage: Eukaryota; Metazoa; Arthropoda; Insecta; Lepidoptera; Pieridae.